Molecule: non-coding RNA, 74 nt
Organism: Phrynosoma platyrhinos (Desert horned lizard)
Lineage: Eukaryota; Metazoa; Chordata; Lepidosauria; Squamata; Phrynosomatidae
Source: the annotation of a GenBank genome assembly
GGCCUAGUGUGGUGUAGUGGUUUGAGUGUUGCACUGUGACUCUGGAGACCAGAGUUCAAUUCUCAGCUUGGCCA